RNAcentral lists this transfer RNA (74 nucleotides) under Helicobacter pylori. Its description in RNAcentral is "tRNA-Gln". It matches the Rfam family "tRNA". From Rfam's summary of the family: Transfer RNA (tRNA) molecules are approximately 80 nucleotides in length. Their secondary structure includes four short double-helical elements and three loops (D, anti-codon, and T loops). Lineage: Bacteria; Pseudomonadati; Campylobacterota; Epsilonproteobacteria; Campylobacterales; Helicobacteraceae. The record is from RNAcentral. RNAcentral also lists the same sequence under 1 other name.
UGGGGAAUAGUUUAAUGGUAGAAUAGCGGACUCUGACUCCGUUAAUCUUGGUUCGAAUCCAGGUACCCCAGCCA